CGGGGAAAGAAGACCCUGUUGAGCUUGACUCUAGUCUGGCACGGUGAAGAGACAUGAGAGGUGUAGAAGAAGUGGGAGGCCCCCGGCGCCCCCGCGCCCCCCGCGUUCCCCCCCGCGAGGGGGGGCCGGGGCGGGGUCCGCCGGCCUCGCGGGCCGCCGGUGAAAUACCACUACUCUGAUCGUUUUUUCACUGACCCGGUGAGGCGGGGGGGCGAGCCCCGAGGGGCUCUCGCUUCUGGCGCCAAGCGCCCGGCCGCGCCGCGGCCCGCCCGGGCGCGC
Molecule: non-coding RNA, 279 nt
Filed under: Heterocephalus glaber (naked mole-rat)
Lineage: Eukaryota; Metazoa; Chordata; Mammalia; Rodentia; Bathyergidae
Description: Eukaryotic large subunit ribosomal RNA
Rfam family: Eukaryotic large subunit ribosomal RNA
Source: Rfam by way of RNAcentral